This 274-nucleotide ribosomal RNA is filed under the name uncultured bacterium. RNAcentral's name for it is "partial 16S ribosomal RNA". It matches the Rfam family "Bacterial small subunit ribosomal RNA", at positions 523 to 796 of the family's 1533-position model. The record is from RNAcentral.
AUACGAAGGUCCCAAGCGUUAUUCGGAAUCACUGGGCGUAAAGAGUACGUAGGCGGUUUGGUAAGUCAGGUGUGAAAUCCCGAAGCUCAACUUCGGAACUGCAUCCGAUACUGCCAGACUAGAGUAACGGAGAGGCAGGUGGAAUUCUCGGUGUAGCAGUGAAAUGCGUGGAUAUCGAGAGGAAGACCAAUGGCGAAGGCAGCCUGCUGGACAUUUACUGACGCUGAGAUACGAAGGCUAGGGGAGCGAAAGGGAUUAGAAACCCCGGUAGUCC